Molecule: ribosomal RNA, 253 nt
Filed under: uncultured bacterium
Lineage: Bacteria
Description: partial 16S ribosomal RNA
Rfam family: Bacterial small subunit ribosomal RNA
Source: RNAcentral
UACAGAGGUCUCAAGCGUUGUUCGGAUUCAUUGGGCGUAAAGGGUGUGUAGGAGGUCGGGUAAGUCAGGUGUGAAAUCUCACAGCUUAACUGUGAAACUGCGCUUGAUACUGCCCGGCUAGAGGAUCGGAGGGGGUAACGGAAUUUAUGGUGUAGCAGUGAAAUGCGUAGAUAUCAUAAGGAACACCGGUGGCGAAGGCGGUUACCUGGAAGAUUCCUGACUCUGAAACACGAAAGCCAGGGGAGCAAACGGG